AAUGGGGGCAACCCUGAUCCAGCAAUGCCGCGUGUGUGAAGAAGGCCUUCGGGUUGUAAAGCACUUUUGUCCGGGAAGAAAUCCCCUGCCCUAAUACGGCGGGGGGAUGACGGUACCGGAAGAAUAAGCACCGGCUAACUACGUGCCAGCAGCCGCGGUAAUACGUAGGGUGCGAGCGUUAAUCGGAAUUACUGGGCGUAAAGCGUGCGCAGGCGGUGAUGUAAGACCGAUGUGAAAUCCCCGGGCUCAACCUGGGAACUGCAUUGGUGACUGCAUUGCUCGAGUAUGGCAGAGGGGGGUGGAAUUCCACGUGUAGCAGUGAAAUGCGUAGAGAUGUGGAGGAACACCGAUGGCGAAGGCAGCCCCCUGGGCCAAUACUGACGCUCAUGCACGAAAGCGUGGGGAGCAAACAGGAUU
RNAcentral lists this ribosomal RNA (417 nucleotides) under uncultured beta proteobacterium. RNAcentral describes it as "bacterial SSU rRNA". It matches the Rfam family "Bacterial small subunit ribosomal RNA", at positions 370 to 779 of the family's 1533-position model. The record is from RNAcentral. Lineage: Bacteria; Pseudomonadati; Pseudomonadota; Betaproteobacteria.